This 244-nucleotide long non-coding RNA is filed under the name Mytilus galloprovincialis (Mediterranean mussel). Lineage: Eukaryota; Metazoa; Mollusca; Bivalvia; Mytilida; Mytilidae. The record is from RNAcentral.
UUUUAGUAAUAGUAAAAGUUCAAUGAUAAGUUAAUAUUGAUAUUAAAAGACCUCCGAACAAAAAGGGGUGUUCAGAUCCCCGAGCCCGAAGGGCGAGGGGAUUUGAACAGCCCUUUUUGUGAGGAGGUCUUUUAAUGUCAAUAUUAACUUAAUCAUUGAACUUUUACUGACUUACAAACCGUCAAAAAUAUAAGAAAAGUACAUAAAAAGCACUUGCAGAAACCCAAUUCCCCUGAACUGGACG